Molecule: unclassified non-coding RNA, 640 nt
Filed under: Hevea brasiliensis (rubber tree)
Lineage: Eukaryota; Viridiplantae; Streptophyta; Magnoliopsida; Malpighiales; Euphorbiaceae
Source: RNAcentral
UGCAUCAAGGCAAGCUUGAAGUUGCACUGCCUCAUUGCAGUUGAUAGAUGAUAUUGGGGUUGAUCCAGAUAAACCACUAGCCAAAGCAAUGACUGUAUCGUUGGUGCUAGUAUCUCCAUCUACCUGUGGCAAAACCAAUCUGAACCAGGUAAAUAUCUAAGUAGAAACACAAGAGAAGACCAAUCAAAUGAUUUGAUAAAGAAAAACAAUGCAUUCCUACAGGCAAGAAUCUCUCUCAAGUCUUAACAUAGAGCAAUGCGAUUCAUAUGCAAAGGGUAUGCAUGUGAAAUAAAUAUUUGUUCAUAUGGAAGGAUAGUAAAUUUAAGUAUCACUGCAGCAUUGGGGGAAGCGCAAAUGCAGGAUUGCACUCUACAAAAGCAAAGGAGUUUCAGGAUAACCCAUGUAAAAGAGAACUGUGCAGAAUAGAGGGAGAAUGUUAAUUUUAUGUAGUUUGGCAAUGUCAAAAUUCAUAGCUCAACUAAAUUUAUAAAGCCAUUGUCAUCAGAGCUAAACCCAUUGGAACUUUUAAGUGGCACAACACAACAAAUUACUGUAACCAUUUAAAUGGCAAAAUUCUCAAGUAAAGCAACACUUGCCAUUGUGAUAUUCCAUUAUUUAUCCUUCAAGCACAAGAAUGGCA